Molecule: small RNA, 29 nt
Filed under: Bombyx mori (domestic silkworm)
Lineage: Eukaryota; Metazoa; Arthropoda; Insecta; Lepidoptera; Bombycidae
Description: ovarian small RNA-14185
Source: RNAcentral
CGACCGCACCACGCCCAUGUAGAGGCGGC